RNAcentral lists this unclassified non-coding RNA (2556 nucleotides) under Daphnia pulex (common water flea). RNAcentral describes it as "uncharacterized LOC124207118, transcript variant X2". Lineage: Eukaryota; Metazoa; Arthropoda; Branchiopoda; Diplostraca; Daphniidae. The record is from RNAcentral.
UUAACAGUUAACUGCUGAUUCAAGCAUGGCGUUCGAUCGAAGAAGAAAUUUUUUUGUUGUCUCAAAGGGUUGAACUGAAAAUGAAAUCGUGUGAAGUUCCAAAGAAUUUGGAUAUAUUCUAAACAUGUUCUUAUUGCAUUACAGAAUAAUUUUGGAACUGAUUGCAAAAAGGAAUAAGCAUUUUGCAGCUUGCAGCUGCAAGAAGAAGUAGAAGCACGACUGCAAGAAUAAGUAACAUGGGACAGGAAAGGGGAAGUAAAGCAUGGAGCAGAGCUAAUUUUCGUAUGUAGGGGAAGGUUUUUGAUGACAACAAUUUAUCAUUCAUGUAAAAUCAGACAGCCAUGAAAAUUCUGAUUCAGAAGUGGACCCCACGAGGCAUCACCCAAACAUAAUUUUACUGAAAAAGAAAGAAGAAAGGCAAUCCGGGAUCUUUCUUACAUUUGGGAAGGAGUGAAUGGUGUCAAGUUAGAAAAGCUUGAUAUUUAGAGACUCCCUCGUGAAUCCUCCAAAGACAUGUAUUAGAGUCGACCUUGAUGGAAAUACAGACCAGAAGAGAGGGGCACCAAAAUUGUAUGAUGAGAUUUUUCCUUCGUAAAGGUAAUUAAUUAUCCUUUCCAUUGAAUGUUAGUCUACCUUGCAAAUAAUUUAUGUUUGUUUUCCUACUGUUGGAUUGAUUGUAAAAUGAUUUCGCUUGUGCAAGUCAUAGCCUACACAACAGCUAGAGUUUCUGAGUUGCUGCUUCAAAAAUACUGUUGUAGUACUUGUAAAACGACUUCUGAUUGUCCAAGUCAUUCACGGCAGCUGUUGUUUCUGAGUUGCUGCAAGUUGCUGCUUGAUAAAUGCUGGUUAAUUGGAUGAAAGAACAUAAUUCCACUGCUCCGUACCACAUGCUCUCAAGCCUGAUCUUCAUUAUGUGGCCUGGACAGAUGUUUAGGAUCGUCCUGAUGAAUGGCCUUUGUUGGUCUUUGUCCCUGAAUUUGCAAGAUAGGAUCAAUGCAAAUGGAACACAUUUAUCAGCCGGGAUCUGUUGCAGAAGAUGGCAAUUCUCAUCACAAGGCCUAUCAGAAAAAGAUCCUCCGUUGCCGUUAGGUAUACCUGCAAUUUGUUGAAGCCCUCGUCGGAUCCAAUUCUUUGCUGCUAUCUAUUUUGCGAACAAUGAGAAAAUGCUGCCAGGCGAUGGCGGUGAUCCCCCCCCCCCUCCCUCCUCCAAUUGAGUUCUGACUUAGAACAAUCUAAGAUUGAUUGAUUUGAGGUUAGUUCCAGCUGCAGCCAUGUUUGAAUCUGCAAAAUGUUGAAGCCUUCGUCAGAUCCAAUUCUUUGCUGCUAUCUAUUUUGUGGACAACGAGAGAAUGCUGCCAGGCAAUGGCGGUGAUCCCCCCCCCCUCCCCCAAUUGAGUUCUGAUUUAUAGAACAAUCCAAGAUUGAUUGAUUUGAGGAUAAUCCCACCCACUGUUCCAUGGACUUUCUCGGCGGAAACUGAUGAGAGAUUGCUGAAAUUCACGACUGUCGUGCCAAUAAGAAAACAAAAGGUUUUCCAUUCAUGGGUUCGCCAUAUUUCAUACCGGUCUAUUACAGCAGUAGUCAACGCUCUGGUACAACGGCGUACAAGAUUGUCCCACGGCUUACGGAAUUACCAUGCAAGAAUAAGUAACAUAUGACACAGAUGAGGAGAAGCAGAGUGUAUACUUGAGAUGGAAUUGAGUUCUAGUUGCUAGCAAAUGGAAGAGCUAUGACUACUUCUUAAUUCCAAAAUUCAAGUCUCUUGCAAAAGACAUUUGUGCAAGUUUUUCCAUGUUUUUCGGCAAAGUCUACAUCAUGGACUUCAUGCAACAGUCCCUGUUGAAAUAAGAGAGUGUGAAGCAAUCGUCCGAUAUUCGGCAUUAUUUGCGCCCAUCAAUAGUGAUCGUUCCUAACGACUCGGUGUAACAACCUAGGCUAGAAGGAUAAACCAUCAGUAGUGGCAGGAACCUCAUUCAUGACAGCUGUCAAGUAUUUUCUAGACGUUAAACAAAAGUGGGAGCCUACACAACUUGAAAUAUCUAACUCUAGAUUGCCUGCAGUGUUAAGAUUUGUUUUUCAACAUGUUUUUGCCACUUUUGUCAUUUUCUUGGUUCUUUUUAACGUGACCACCUCUUUACUCGUCCCUGCUAUGCUGGAUCUUCCCAGUUCGUCCAUCGACGCCCACCAGCCUCUUCGAAAGAAAGAAGUUUGUCCCAAUAUGGAAGUUCGAAAUGGCCUACAACAGUUUUCGGAAUUGGAGGGCUGCCGAGUGGCUGGAACUGAAAUCGUGAUGGUGGAAUUGCAGCCCGGAUACAUUGCACCACAUCAUUGGGAAAAAUCCAAUGCAAAAUCCAAGCGAUUGCACGUCCUCCCGGUCAUUAUUUGUUUAUGGAGCGGCGAUGCGUUACGUGCCAUCCUUACGUUAAAUAGAAUUGGAAGGCCUUUAGUGAAUCGGGGACUAAAUCGGGAUGCAUCUUGGGAUGUCCGCUAGGCUUUCAGUAACAAAACAGACAUCACAAUUGGCAGCGACAUUAAUUGUAGCCCAUCUAUUAAGAA